CACGACCCUUUAUUGCACAAGAGCCCCACCCCCCUCAUAAAAGUGUCUGAAACAGCGUCCUGGAUCCUGACCAAACAGAUUACAGCAGCGACCUUGGGGGGAAGCCAGCAGAGGGGUGGAGACUUUCUCUCCCCUCCAGAACACGGAACCAAUCUCAGCUAAUCCUCACAAUUUCCCUGUUCACGGACGGGCGGUGUGUGCGCAUCUUUUCCAAUGGAGAGGAGUCGUUGGCAUCGGUAAUAGAUGGAAUGUGAAUAUUGUAUUGUGUGGAGGGACAGCUCCUCUGGCCUGUGGCCAGGGAAGGAAGACAAGAUCCAGUGGAGAGAGAAAUGGCUGAUUCACUGUCUGGGGCAGAGAAAGUGAAACUGGGGCAUCAACUUGUACCAAAAGACUAGGAAGUGUUCAAAAACAUAGGAGAUAUAGAAGGGAUUCUUACUGGCCAAAUUUGGGACAAUUAGAGCACCAAAAUGAAUAAUGACUGCAACUGGUAACAUGAUGAAUAGAACAAACUCUAUGUGUCCAUAGUGAUAUUCAAAACAAGAGGGGAAGGAAGGGAAAUAGCUAAUAAAAAUGGAAGGAAUAAUAGAAUUGGAUAUCACUAUUUUGCAGCCCCCAAUAAAAUAAGUGAUUUAUACAAAGUUUAUCAAUGGAGCCACUGGAUAAAAGUUUACUAGACAGUAAGAUAUUCACUUUGCCACAGAGGACCCAAGUAUUAUCAAGGGGGAAAUUUCUCUUUACAAUAGAGAGAUCUGGGAGUCAGUAUCU
Long non-coding RNA from Felis catus (domestic cat), 765 nucleotides. RefSeq lists it as uncharacterized. Lineage: Eukaryota; Metazoa; Chordata; Mammalia; Carnivora; Felidae. The record is from RefSeq and is a predicted model, not a curated record. The transcript is spliced from 3 exons.